GAACGUUGAAGACGACGACGUUGAUAGGCCGGGUGUGUAAGCGCAGCGAUGCGUUGAGCUAACCGGUACUAAUGAACCGUGAGGCUUAACCUUACAACGCCGAAGGUGUUU
This 111-nucleotide ribosomal RNA is filed under the name Citrobacter koseri. RNAcentral describes it as "partial 23S ribosomal RNA". The stretch from base 1 to 93 matches the Rfam family "Bacterial large subunit ribosomal RNA", at positions 2833 to 2925 of the family's 2925-position model. Lineage: Bacteria; Pseudomonadati; Pseudomonadota; Gammaproteobacteria; Enterobacterales; Enterobacteriaceae. RNAcentral also lists the same sequence under 3 other names. The record is from RNAcentral.